UUCUACCUAUGAUGAGUUGCGAACUUUAUUGCCUACAUUGUUUGACCAAUCCUAUGAGAAACUGAUGCAACAUCUGAGGACUCA
This is a small nucleolar RNA of Lolium rigidum, 84 nucleotides long. RefSeq annotates it as small nucleolar RNA SNORD34. Lineage: Eukaryota; Viridiplantae; Streptophyta; Magnoliopsida; Poales; Poaceae. The record is from RefSeq and is a predicted model, not a curated record. The transcript has a single exon.